GUCAUAUAAUGAACUGCAGCUUGAUUUUUGUCUUUUACAAAUUGGACAAAUUUGAGAAUCAAAUUCUCUUUCCAUGAUGCGAUACUUUAAUAAAUAAAAACGUUUUUAGGUCCGUCAGUCUUGAUGAUCGCUGCCUUUUGCGUCAUCGCCUUCCAGCCAAUGACACGGCGAAUUCCAGAGCCGAGACACCCAAGAUGUAAAUCUUACAAACAUGGCGACGCUCCGGAGAGAGUACGGAGCAUUGCAAUGAGACUGCUUUCAGCGGAAAGAAUUGCCUCAACUUGGCUUGUUACAAUGUGGUGGAGUUAGCCAGAGCCACCGCGUGCACAGCCAUUAGAUCAUGUUAGCUGAGGCCAGUCUGUCCAUCUGGGGAUGGGGGGGUCUUGGAGUUGUGCUGUUUUUUGUCACCUUUGGACCUUUCGCCAUAUUUUACCUGGCAUUUUAUAUCUUCUGCUUCAUUGGAGGGGGAUUUGCGGUUACAUUGCUUUACGGGAAGAUAAACUCAGAGAAACACUUGGAAAAGUGCGAACAUUCAUACCUGCCACCUACACAACCCGGUAUUCUGAAGACACUUGAUGAGAUGAAGCUGGAGCUGAAGCCUAUAAAGAUUGACAGGAGACUGACUGGCUCCAGUUUCAUUGAUGAGCCACUACAGCAGGUGAUCCAGUUUGCACUGAGAGACUAUAUUCAGUACUGGUACUACACUCUGAGUGAAGAUGAGUCGUUCCUGUUGGAGAUCAGACAAACACUGCAGAAUGCCCUCAUCCAGUUCUCCACACGCUCAAAAGAAGUGGACUGGCAGCCUUACUUCACUACACGCCUGGUGGACGACUUUGCCACACAUCUACGUGUCUUCAGAAAAGCGCAGGAUCGCCUGGCUGAGCGGGAGGACAAGCAAAGGGACACCACAGAAGAGCUGGUCGACUCCUUCUUCGAGGCAGAGGUGGAGAUGGAGAGGAAGGUUUGUCGAGACAUGGUGUGCACCUCACACAAAGAUGAAGAAGGUUUUCUUCGGGACUUGUGCGAGUUGCUUCUCUAUCUUUUACUACCUCCCGGAGACUUCCACAACAAAAACAUGAGAUAUUUUUUGAGGGAAGUUCUAGCGUGUGGUGUGCUGCUGCCUCUGAUCAACCAGCUAAGCGACCCAGAUUACAUCAACCAGUUUGUCAUCUGGAUGAUUCGGGACUCCAGCUGUAACUAUGAAGCCUUCAUGAACAUUUUGAAGUUAACAGACAAGCCUACUGAGUUGGAGGCAGUUAAAGACAAGGUUCUGGAGGAGCUGCAGUACUUGCGCUCUCUGGACACUGCUGGAGAUGACAUCAAUGUGAUCAAGAACCAGAUUAACAGUCUUCUGUUUGUGAAGAAGGUGUGUGAGACCAGGAUCCAGAGACUCCAGUCCGGAAAGGAGGUCGACGCCUUGAAACUGGCGGCCAACUUUGGGAAGCUGUGUGUGAUCCCUCUAGAACACAUCCUCGUCCAUAACAUUGCACUGCAGUUCUUUAUGGACUUUAUGCAGGCGGCGGGUGCUCAGGCGGAGCUGUUCUUCUGGCUCACUGUUGAGGGCUACAGGGUGACGGCCCAGCAGCAGCUGGAGGCCAUGCUGAGCUGCCAGAAAGACGGCAAGAAGCAGCCCAGCGCCACAAAGGGGCUGCUGAAAGCUGCUGCUCUAGGUGUUUAUGAACAAUACCUCUCUGAAAAGGCAUCUCCCAGGGUCCAAGUUGACAAAACAUUAAUAACAAAACUGGGGGAGAAGCUCCAAAAUGAUGACCCCACACCUGAAAUCUUUGAUGAAAUCCAGAGAAAGGUGUACGACAUGAUGCUACGUGAUGAGCGCUUUUACCCAGCCUUCAAGCAGAGCCCUCUGUACGUACGCAUGCUGGCAGAGCUGGACAUGCUGAAGGAGCCGAGCUACAGAGGAUCUGAUGACGGCGAGGGAGAAUCCUUUAACGGCUCACCCACUGGAAGCUUAAACCUGUGUCUAGACGACUAUUCAAACUCCUGCCAUGAAGACUUUUUGCAGCUACAGGUGGAUGACAACAUCCCACUACGGGUGAUGCUGCUGCUGAUGGAUGAGGUGUUUGACCUCAAAGAGAAGAACCAGUGGCUGCGCCGGAACAUCAAGAACCUUCUGCAGCAGCUGAUUAGAGCCACUUAUGGAGACACUAUCAACAGGAAAAUUGUAGAUCAUGUAGACUACUUGACGUCACCAGAACAGGUGGCAGAAUAUGUGAAGAAGUUCAGGGACUCCUACUGGCCCAAUGGCAUUCUGGCUGAGAGCCCGCCCCGUCGGGACAAGAGCAUCCGCAUGAGGACGCGAGUGGCAGCAAAGACCAGCUUGUUGGGUAUCAUGCCAGAUGAACUGAAACACAUCAUUGGAGCAGAGACCACCAGAAAGGGGAUCCUCCGCGUCUUCGACAUGUUCCAGUACCAGCCCAUGAACCGGCGGCUGGUGUACGUGUUCCUGGAGGGCUUCCUGGAGACCAUGUUUCCGCAGUACAAAUUCCCCGAGCUCUUCGUGAAGCUGCAUUCCCGUUCUCCGCGCAUCCACAGAUACAACCAGAAACUCAAAUGCUCUUCUGCGAAGAGGUGA
Molecule: long non-coding RNA, 2590 nt
Organism: Oryzias sinensis (Chinese medaka)
Lineage: Eukaryota; Metazoa; Chordata; Actinopteri; Beloniformes; Adrianichthyidae
Source: Ensembl